GAUCCUGGCUCGGGACGAACGCUGGCGGCGUGCUUAACACAUGCAAGUCGAACGAGAAUCUGUGGAUCGAGGAUUCGUCCAAGUGAAGCAGAGGACAGUGGCGGACGGGUGAGUAACGCGUGAGGAACCUGCCUUUCAGAGGGGGACAACAGUUGGAAACGACUGCUAAUACCGCAUGAUACGUUUUAGGGGCAUCCCUGAGACGUCAAAGAUUUAUCGCUGAAAGAUGGCCUCGCGU
RNAcentral lists this ribosomal RNA (238 nucleotides) under uncultured bacterium. RNAcentral's name for it is "partial 16S ribosomal RNA". It matches the Rfam family "Bacterial small subunit ribosomal RNA", at positions 15 to 236 of the family's 1533-position model. The record is from RNAcentral.